RNAcentral lists this ribosomal RNA (388 nucleotides) under uncultured bacterium. RNAcentral's name for it is "bacterial SSU rRNA". It matches the Rfam family "Bacterial small subunit ribosomal RNA", at positions 28 to 417 of the family's 1533-position model. The record is from RNAcentral.
GACGAACGCUGGCGGCGUGCUUAACACAUGCAAGUCGAGCGGUAAGGCCCUUUCGGGGGUACACGAGCGGCGAACGGGUGAGUAACACGUGGGUGACCUGCCCUCAGCUCUGGGAUAAGCCUGGGAAACCGGGUCUAAUACUGGAUAUGACUCCAUGACGCAUGUUGGUGGGGUGGAAAGCCUUGUGCGGCUGAGGAUGGGCCCGCGGCCUAUCAGCUUGUUGGUGGGGUGAGGCCUACCAAGGCGACGACGGGUAGCCGGCCUGAGAGGGCGACCGGCCACACUGGGACUGAGACACGGCCCAGACUCCUACGGGAGGCAGCAGUGGGGAAUCUUGCGCAAUGGGCGAAAGCCUGACGCAGCGACGCCGCGUGAGGGAUGACGGCCU